CUUGAGUUUAGGUGACGAUCGUAACAGUAACCUAACCUAACCUAAUCCUGUUGUGUAUAUCGACUUGAGUUUAGGUGACGAUCGUAACAGUAACCUAACCUAACCUAAUCCUGUUGUGUAUAUCGACUUGAGUUUAGGUGACGAUCGUAACAGUAACCUAACCUAACCUAAUCCUGUUGUGUAUAUCGACUUGAGUUUAGGUGACGAUCAUAACAGUAACCUAACCUAACCUAACCUAAUCCUGUUGUGUAUAUCAACUUGAGUUUAGGUGACGAUCGUAACAGUAACCUUACCUAACCUAAUCCUGUUGUGUAUAUCGACUUGAGUUUAGGUGACGAUCGUAAUAGUAACCUAACCUAACCUAAUCCUGUUGUGUAUAUUGACUUGAGUUUAGGUGACGAUCAGAACAGUUGCUUUAGUCUCCCUGUCGUGCUGAGGAGGGUUAACGCUUGGAAAUAUGCUGCAAUUCAACAAGAAGUAAUUUGCUUGGGCAUUAAUUUAUAUGUUAUCAAUAGGGGAAGCACUUGAUUCAGUAAAUAUAUCUUGACUCAAGUUUAGGUGCCGAUCAGAACAGUUGCUUUGUUAGUUUAGCGCCCCUAUACUAUGCGGACUUUUUUGUUGCUCUUUUUGUUAUAUUGUCCUUGAGCUCUCUCCCAUGCUGUAAUAAAAAAAAGAAGGGCCUCAUAUGGUUCACCUGGUGAGGGAACGAGUUACUCUCUGCCCUCCUUGGAAUCUGUGUGUGUAGGGCAAACUAACUGAUAUUCUAAAAACUUAACAAUGGACUUUUCGUUUUAACUCAGAAAUCUGCACCUGAGCCUUUAGAACACAUGUCUUUCAGGUUCAAGACUGGUGAGGGAACAAGUUACUCUCUGCCCCCCUUGGAAUUUGUGUAUGUAGGGCAAACUAACCGAUACACUAUAAACUUAACUUCUCUCUUUGGCUCGGAACCUUUCCC
Eriocheir sinensis (Chinese mitten crab) is the source of this 955-nucleotide long non-coding RNA. RefSeq lists it as uncharacterized. The record is from RefSeq and is a predicted model, not a curated record. The transcript has 3 exons. NCBI's taxonomy places the organism in Eukaryota, Metazoa, Arthropoda, Malacostraca, Decapoda, Varunidae.